GACGAACGCUGGCGGCGUGCUUAACACAUGCAAGUCGAACGGAAAGGCCCUGCUUUUGUGGGGUGCUCGAGUGGCGAACGGGUGAGUAACACGUGAGUAACCUGCCCUUGACUUUGGGAUAACUUCAGGAAACUGGGGCUAAUACCGGAUAGGAGCUCCUGCUGCAUGGUGGGGGUUGGAAAGUUUCGGCGGUUGGGGAUGGACUCGCGGCUUAUCAGCUUGUUGGUGGGGUAGUGGCUGACCAAGGCUUUGACGGGUAGCCGGCCUGAGAGGGUGACCGGCCCCAUUGGGCCUGGGAUGCGGCCCAGACUCCUGCGUGCGGCAGCGGUGGGGACUAUUGCGCAAUGGGCGGCGUCAGGGAGCAGCGACUCCGCGUGCGGGAUGACGGCCAUCGGGUAGUAAACAGUUUUCGCGUGUGACGACGCGUGAGUGCCGGUCCUGGGCAAAGAAGCACCGCCUACCUACGU
Molecule: ribosomal RNA, 467 nt
Filed under: uncultured bacterium
Lineage: Bacteria
Description: partial 16S ribosomal RNA
Rfam family: Bacterial small subunit ribosomal RNA
Source: RNAcentral